CCCGCCAUUUUACGUUGGGGUUCGCGGCGGCGCCAUUAAAGCGGGAGAAGGAAGCACAGUAGCUAGGUCCGCCGGCUGGGGUACGAGCCCUCGCGGUCUUAGCCGGCAGGCGGAAGCGGGCAUCCGCGCGCGCCGGUCUCGUGCUCGCCGCGGCUCCUCGGGCGCGGCAGCGUCAUGUCGGAGCAGCAGUUCGGGGGGGACUCAGCGGCCGGAGCGGGAGGCGGCUCGGCGGAGCAGGCGGAGCAGCAGGAGGGGAUGGCUGGGGCGGGCGGCGCGGAAGGGGGAGGCGGCGGCGGCGGCGGAGGAGGAGGAGGCGGCGGCGGUGGCGGUGGCGGCCCCGAGUCGGAGGGCGCCAAGAUAGACGCGAGCAAGAACGAGGAGGAUGAAGGCAAUUCAAACUCCUCCCCAUGGCUUUCUGAAGCGGCAGCGCCACAGCGGGAAGAAUGGAAAAUGUUCAUUGGAGGCCUUAGCUGGGACACAACAAAGAAAGAUCUGAAGGACUACUUUUCCAAAUUUGGUGAAGUCGUAGACUGCACUCUGAAGUUAGAUCCUAUCACAGGGCGAUCAAGGGGUUUUGGCUUUGUACUUUUUAAAGAGUCUGAAAGUGUAGAUAAGGUCAUGGACCAAAAAGAACAUAAACUGAAUGGAAAAGUGAUUGAUCCAAAAAGAGCUAAAGCCAUGAAAACAAAAGAACCUGUUAAAAAGAUUUUUGUUGGUGGACUAUCUCCAGAUACGCCUGAGGAGAAAAUAAGGGAGUAUUUUGGAGGUUUUGGUGAGGUGGAAUCUAUAGAGCUUCCUAUGGACAACAAAACCAACAAAAGGCGUGGAUUCUGCUUUAUUACUUUCAAGGAUGAGGAACCAGUGAAGAAAAUAAUGGAAAAAAAAUACCACAACGUCGGUCUUAGUAAAUGUGAAAUAAAAGUAGCCAUGUCAAAGGAACAGUAUCAGCAGCAACAGCAAUGGGGAAGUAGAGGAGGAUUUGUUGGGAGAGCCCGUGGAAGAGGUGGUGGCCCCAGUCAAAACUGGAACCAGGGAUAUAGCAACUACUGGAAUCAGGGAUAUGGCAACUAUGGCUACAACAGCCCAGGGUACGGUGGCUAUGGAGGAUAUGACUACACUGGUUACAACAACUACUAUGGAUAUGGUGACUAUAGCAAUCAGCAGAGUGGUUAUGGGAAAGUAUCCCGGCGAGGUGGUCAUCAAAAUAGCUACAAACCAUACUAAAUUAUUCCAUUUGCAACUUAUCCCAAACAGCGGGAACUUCAUUGCAGGCCCUGUAUCGCGCUGACUUCACGAUUCUCACAGGCCCGCUCAAUGCGGACAGGGUACGAGAUGCUCACGCUCUCGAAUGCUGCCGUUUGGUGGAGAAGCAGUAUUUUCUCAUUUGAAGAUUCAUUUGAGGUGGCUCGUGCUACCUGCUAAUAGCAGUUCAAACUAAUUUUUUUGUAUCAAGUCCCUGAAUUGGAAGUAAGACGUUGGGUCCCUCCUGAAGUUUAAUUGAGUUAUCAUUAAAACAAUUGCUUUCAUUGUCUUAUUUCUUAAUUGCUAUGCUUAAGAAUCAAUUUGUUUUAUGCCCCUUCCUUGGUAUUGUAGAGCAAGUCUUGUGUUUAAAAGCCCAGUGUGACAGUGUCAUGAUGUAGUAGUGUCUUACUGGUUUUUUAAUAAAUCUUUUUGUAUAAA
This is an RNA transcript of Gopherus flavomarginatus (Mexican gopher tortoise), 1680 nucleotides long. It is a transcript of the gene named heterogeneous nuclear ribonucleoprotein D, with no coding region annotated. The transcript has 10 exons. The record is from RefSeq and is a predicted model, not a curated record. Lineage: Eukaryota; Metazoa; Chordata; Testudines; Testudinidae.